CUACAUUUCGUGCCAACACCAGCGGCGACAGGCGGAAGGCUUUUGCUAGGCACACGGUCAUGUAAGCCUGUAACAUGCGUUUGGCGUGUGCUAUCGUGAUUUACUCUGUGUGAUGGCUCUUUCUCGUUUGCACGGCCGAUACAACUUGCUGAGAAGCUGGCAAGCCCAUUCGUCUUCAAGAGUGGCCAUAGCUCUGCGGUGCCAGCCUCGCUCGUCUUAUCUUUCUUGGCGUGGCCCCAAAAUGGAUGCUACGCGAGUUUGGGGGUGGGCUGGGCGGCGGAUGCCUCAGAGACCACCAAAGUGACGCAUGCGUUUUACCAUGCGCACUGCGCCGCCGACAAGUGGUGUCGUGUGCGUGUUUCUGUCACGCGUCGACGGUAGAGCUUGGCAGGAGCGGUGUGCUUCACGUAGCGUUCGCGAUGUUUCUUUUUCUCAGAGGAUCGAACACGUGCGCACCACAGCGCCGAAUGCCGAGAUGAGAUCACGUGAUUCCGUUGCAGAGCUGCUCCGUUUCCUCGAUGCGGUGUCUCGCUGACUGUGCAUCGGCCCCGCCUCGAUGACGCCCACUGUCCUCUCCGCUGCCGCAUCGCCACUCUCGCGCUCACACCGCAUCUCCUGCCUCUGUCCUGUAUCUCCGCGUAUAAACACUGCACGCGGCACCGGACAUGUCUCAG
This 674-nucleotide unclassified non-coding RNA is filed under the name Leishmania donovani. RNAcentral's name for it is "gene:unknown". The record is from RNAcentral. Lineage: Eukaryota; Euglenozoa; Kinetoplastea; Trypanosomatida; Trypanosomatidae.